This is a long non-coding RNA of Dipodomys spectabilis (banner-tailed kangaroo rat), 927 nucleotides long. RefSeq lists it as uncharacterized. The transcript is spliced from 4 exons. Lineage: Eukaryota; Metazoa; Chordata; Mammalia; Rodentia; Heteromyidae. The record is from RefSeq and is a predicted model, not a curated record.
GCCCGGAGCCCGUCUGUGCCCGCUCUGGGGUGCAGGGAGGGGGGCAAGCCUUGGAGGCCGGGUUCCUACCCGCACCUGGGAGCUAAACUGCGCGGUGUGUAUACGGGUCCGGUUUGGGACCGGUUCCGCGAGUGCUCACCCUUUUCCUCUAACCAGCCCACUCGCCUCCUUUUGGUCUCUCUGUCUCCCCACUCCGCAUGGGUACCAAGAACUUUGUGGGAGAGGAUGGCAUAGCCCUCCCAGUUGUCUUUUGCUGAAGAAUGUUCCUGAAUCAAGACAACCUCUUGCCUCUCUCCCUUGCCUCCCUCUCCAGGAAUGUGAUGGAGGAAGGACUCUAAGGGAAAAGGUCUCUUUUGCCAAAGAAUAACAACAAGAAGGAUGACAGUUGGAGUACAAUGCUGCCCUCUUCAUGUAGGGUGAUAAGGCUCAACCUCCACCAGUUGACAGGAGCAGACAGAAGCAAAUCCAGUUUGUUUCAGCUGAUAUCCUCUCCCAACUUUAUUCUGAAAACUAUUAUGACUGAGUUGGAGUGUUUGUGUCCCCCCAAAUUCAUCUGUUAAAAUUCCAGACUCUUGGGCUGGGAACGUGGCUCAGUGGUAGAGUGCUUGCCUUGCAUGCAUGAAGCCCUGGGUUCGAUUCCUCAGCACCACAUAAGCAGAAAAGGCUGGAAAUAAUGCUGUCUCAAGUCGUAGAGCUCUGGGCUGAAGAGCUGAGGGACAGCGCCCAGGUGGAGUUCAGGCCCUAUGGCUGAACUUUUUUGAGAGGUGAUUAGGUCAGAGUAGUGGAGCCCUCAUAAAUGGGAUUUGUAGACCACCUUGUACCUUCCUCCAUGUGACGGCACAUUGAGAAAACAUCUAUCAAUCAGAAAAUGAACUUUUACCACCCAGAGAAUCUGUUGUCAUCUUGAUCUUGGAUGUCUCAACAUCG